UGAACGCUGGCGGCAGGCCUAACACAUGCAAGUCGAGCGGAUGACAGGAGCUUGCUCCUGAAUUCAGCGGCGGACGGGUGAGUAAUGCCUAGGAAUCUGCCUGGUAGUGGGGGACAACGUUUCGAAAGGAACGCUAAUACCGCAUACGUCCUACAGGAGAAAGCAGGGGACCUUCGGGCCUUGCGCUAUCAGAUGAGCCUAGGUCGGAUUAGCUAGUUGGUGAGGUAAUGGCUCACCAAGGCGACGACGGGUAGCCGGCCUGAGAGGGCGACCGGCCACACUGGGACUGAGACACGGCCCAGACUCCUACGGGAGGCAGCAGUGGGGAAUAUUGGGCAAUGGAGGCAACUCUGACCCAGCGACGCCGCGUGCGGGAUGAAGGCCUUCGGUUGUAACCGCUUUCAGUAGGAAGAAGCGAAAGUGACGGUACCUACAAAGAAGCACCGGCUAACUAUGUGCCAGCAG
Molecule: ribosomal RNA, 465 nt
Filed under: uncultured Actinomycetes bacterium
Lineage: Bacteria; Bacillati; Actinomycetota; Actinomycetes
Description: bacterial SSU rRNA
Rfam family: Bacterial small subunit ribosomal RNA
Source: RNAcentral